RNAcentral lists this ribosomal RNA (154 nucleotides) under Klebsiella pneumoniae. RNAcentral's name for it is "partial 16S ribosomal RNA". The stretch from base 41 to 154 matches the Rfam family "Bacterial small subunit ribosomal RNA", at positions 1 to 113 of the family's 1533-position model. The record is from RNAcentral. Lineage: Bacteria; Pseudomonadati; Pseudomonadota; Gammaproteobacteria; Enterobacterales; Enterobacteriaceae.
UGAGCCAAGUUUAGGGUUUCUUAAAAACCCAAGCAGUAUUGAACUGAAGAGUUUGAUCAUGGCUCAGAUUGAACGCUGGCGGCAGGCCUAACACAUGCAAGUCGAGCGGAUGAGAAGAGCUUGCUCUUCGAUUCAGCGGCGGACGGGUGAGUAA